This 65-nucleotide transfer RNA is filed under the name Dipodomys ordii (Ord's kangaroo rat). It matches the Rfam family "tRNA". From Rfam's summary of the family: Transfer RNA (tRNA) molecules are approximately 80 nucleotides in length. Their secondary structure includes four short double-helical elements and three loops (D, anti-codon, and T loops). Further hydrogen bonds mediate the characteristic L-shaped molecular structure. tRNAs have two regions of fundamental functional importance: the anti-codon, which is responsible for specific mRNA codon recognition, and the 3' end, to which the tRNAs corresponding amino acid is attached (by aminoacyl-tRNA synthetases). tRNAs cope with the degeneracy of the genetic code in two manners: having more than one tRNA (with a specific anti-codon) for a particular amino acid; and 'wobble' base-pairing, i.e. permitting non-standard base-pairing at the 3rd anti-codon position. Lineage: Eukaryota; Metazoa; Chordata; Mammalia; Rodentia; Heteromyidae. The record is from Rfam by way of RNAcentral.
GGUGGCUCAGAGGUAGAGUGCUUGCCUUGCAUGCAAAAGGCCCUGGGUUCAAUUCCUCAGCACCG